GGCAGGGUAGCUCAGUGGUAGAGCACGGCAUUCAUAACGCCGUGGUCGCGGGUUCGAUCCCCGCCCCUGUCA
Molecule: transfer RNA, 72 nt
Filed under: bacterium
Lineage: Bacteria
Description: tRNA-Met
Rfam family: tRNA
About the family: Transfer RNA (tRNA) molecules are approximately 80 nucleotides in length. Their secondary structure includes four short double-helical elements and three loops (D, anti-codon, and T loops).
Source: RNAcentral